This 71-nucleotide transfer RNA is filed under the name Gekko vittatus (white-lined gecko). Its description in RNAcentral is "tRNA-Glu". Lineage: Eukaryota; Metazoa; Chordata; Lepidosauria; Squamata; Gekkonidae. The record is from RNAcentral.
AUUUUUAUAGUUGAAUUACAACGGUGGUUUUUCAUAUCACUGGUUCUAGUUAAAACUACUAGGUGAAAAUA